CCUACGGGAGGCAGCAGUGAGGAAUAUUGGUCAAUGGACGAGAGUCUGAACCAGCCAAGUAGCGUGAAGGAUGACUGCCCUAUGGAUUGUAAACUUCUUUUAUAUGGGAAUAAACUGUUCCACGUGUGGGAUUUUGUAUGUACCAUAUGAAUAAGGAUCGGCUAACUCCGUGCCAGCAGCCGCGGUAAUACGGAGGAUGCGAGCGUUAUCCGGAUUUAUUGGGGUUAAAGGGUGCGUAGGUGGAUUGUUAAGUCAGUUGUGAAAGUUUGCGGCUCAACCGGAAAAUUGCAGUUGAAACUGGCAGUCUUGAGUACAGUAGAGGUGGGCGGAAUUCGCGGUGUAGCGGUGAAAUGCUUAGAUAUCACGCAGAACUCCGAUUGCGAAGGCAGUUCACUGGACUGCAACUGACACUGAGGCUCGAAAGUGUGGGUAUCAAACAGGAUUAGAUACCCCUGUAGUC
This 460-nucleotide ribosomal RNA is filed under the name uncultured bacterium. Its description in RNAcentral is "partial 16S ribosomal RNA". It matches the Rfam family "Bacterial small subunit ribosomal RNA", at positions 338 to 795 of the family's 1533-position model. The record is from RNAcentral.